This 73-nucleotide transfer RNA is filed under the name Camelus ferus (Wild Bactrian camel). It matches the Rfam family "tRNA". From Rfam's summary of the family: Transfer RNA (tRNA) molecules are approximately 80 nucleotides in length. Their secondary structure includes four short double-helical elements and three loops (D, anti-codon, and T loops). Lineage: Eukaryota; Metazoa; Chordata; Mammalia; Artiodactyla; Camelidae. The record is from Rfam by way of RNAcentral.
GAGGGUAUAGCUCAAGUGGUAGAGUGCAUGCCUAGCAUGCCUGAAGUCCUGGGUUCAAUCCCCAGUACCUCCA